UAGCCUACGGGAGGCAGCAGUGGGAGAUAUUGCGCAAUGGGGGGAACCCUGAUGCAGCGACGCCGCGUGGGUGAAGAAGCGCCUCGGCGCGUAAAGCCCUGUCAGCAGGGAAGAAAAUGACGGUACCUGAAGAAGAAGCCCCGGCUAACUACGUGCCAGCAGCCGCGGUAAUACGUAGGGGGCAAGCGUUAUCCGGAUUCACUGGGCGUAAAGGGAGCGCAGGCGGCACGGCAAGUCUGGUGUGAAAACCCGGGGCUCAACCCCGGGACUGCAUUGGAAACUGCCGGGCUGGAGUGUCGGAGGGG
Molecule: ribosomal RNA, 305 nt
Filed under: uncultured bacterium
Lineage: Bacteria
Description: bacterial SSU rRNA
Rfam family: Bacterial small subunit ribosomal RNA
Source: RNAcentral